RNAcentral lists this ribosomal RNA (383 nucleotides) under uncultured bacterium. Its description in RNAcentral is "bacterial SSU rRNA". It matches the Rfam family "Bacterial small subunit ribosomal RNA", at positions 519 to 902 of the family's 1533-position model. The record is from RNAcentral.
GGUAAUACGUAGGCAGCAAGCGUUGUUCGGAGUUACUGGGCGUAAAGGGUGCGUAGGCGGCUCGAUAAGUAUGGUGUGAAAUCUCCCGGCUUAACUGGGAGGGUGCGCUAUAGACUGCCGGGCUAGAGUGUGGGAGAGGAAAGUGGAAUUCCUGGUGUAGCGGUGAAAUGCGUAGAUAUCAGGAGGAACACCGGUGGUGUAAACGGCUUUCUGGACCAUAACUGACGCUGAGGCACGAAAGCGUGGGUAGCAAACAGGAUUAGAUACCCUGGUAGUCCACGCCCUAAACGAUGCAUAUUUGGUGUGGGUCAUUCAGUUGAUCCGUGCCGGAGCUAACGCGUUAAAUAUGCCGCCUGGGGAGUACAGUCGCMAGGCUGAAACUC